Molecule: ribosomal RNA, 492 nt
Filed under: uncultured bacterium
Lineage: Bacteria
Description: partial 16S ribosomal RNA
Rfam family: Bacterial small subunit ribosomal RNA
Source: RNAcentral
AGUGAACGCUGGCGGUAGGCCUAACACAUGCAAGUCGAACGGCAGCACAGUAAGAGCUUGCUCUUACGGGUGGCGAGUGGCGGACGGGUGAGGAAUACAUCGGAAUCUACUUUUUCGUGGGGGAUAACGUAGGGAAACUUACGCUAAUACCGCAUACGACCUACGGGUGAAAGCAGGGGAUCUUCGGACCUUGCGCGAUUGAAUGAGCCGAUGUCGGAUUAGCUAGUUGGCGGGGUAAAGGCCCACCAAGGCGACGAUCCGUAGCUGGUCUGAGAGGCUGAUCAGCCACACUGGAACUGAGACACGGUCCAGACUCCUACGGGAGGCAGCAGUGGGGAAUAUUGGACAAUGGGCGCAAGCAUGAUCCAGCCAUACCGCGUGGGUGAAGAAGGCCUUCGGGUUGUAAAGCCCUUUUGUUGGGAAAGAAAAGCAGCAGGUUAAUACCCCGCUGUUCUGACGGUACCCAAAGAAUAAGCACCGGCUAACUUCGUG